GAGAGCCAGUCCCCGCGAAGCCAUCUCCUUGAAAAGCUUGUAAGCUUCGAAGGAUCGCUUCUCCUUGCCGAGGCCAUCAAUGAGCGAGGUGUAAGUGACCACGUCCGGCGUGCAGCCAUUGUCGACGAUCUUGCGAAGGAGAUCAAUGGCUUCUUCGAGGCGUCCCAUCUUGCAAAGACCAUUGAGGAGAGCGUUGUAGGUGGCGAUGGUGGGAGUACACCCAUUGGCAGUGAUCUUCUCCAUCAAAGCCACGGCCUCUUGGAUCUUCUUGUUCUUGGCGAGCCAGUUCACAAUGGCGGUAUAGGUGUGGAUGUCGAUCGUGCAGCCAUUGGUCGUGGUCUCCUGGGCGAGGGAGUGAGCCUGGAUCAUCAUACCUGCCUUGACGAGGCCAUUGAUGAGGAUCGAGAACGUCGCAGCGCUCACCGGCAUGGAUCUCCUCACCGCCUCGAAGUGAUCCAUCGCCGCGAGGACCUUGCCCGACUUGCACAGGCCGUGGAGGACGAGAUUGUGGGUCUUGAGCGACGGCGCCACGCCGAAAUCCUCCUCCAUCUCCCUAAUAACCGCGAAUGCCUCCUCGGGCUCGCGAGCCAGGCAGUAGCCGGUGAUGAGGACGUUCCAGGUCUCCACAUCCGGCCGAAAUAUCGUCGCGAGCUCGUUCUUGAGGAGAUUCCCGGCCUCCCUGUGGCGCUUGGUCCUGGCAAACACAUCCAGGAGCGCGUUCCCCGUGUGGACGCUGUGCUGGAAGCCGAAUCGAGGGGAGGAGAGGCACUGGAAGAGCUCCCAGGCGAGAUCGGCGUCCUUGAGGCACUGGAAGAUCUUCACCACGGCGUCAGUGGAGAUUUCCCGGCGUAGCCUGUCCAGCGCCGCCUCGAUCGAAUGCCUGGAAGAGGAGGAGGAAGAGUGGAGCAUCUGCGCGAAAUCCCUGUAGCUCCAGACGCCCGCAUUGGAGGAAGCGGCAAGAUCGUUCGCCUCAUCCUCGGUGGAUUCCUGAGCUACCGGCUGCGUGGCGAUCGAUCUGGCGCGGCUGGGUACCUGUGCAAUGCGCGAUAGCCGGGCAAUGCGCGCGCAUCCAAAUCUUGCCGCCAUUCAUAAACCCUAACCCCUAGGGCUUUAGGGCAUCUUUUGUUAUUCUCUUAGGGCUCAUGCGAUGGACGAGGACGACGAUGGAGGUAUUGGAUCGCUGUUCCUGGACGAGAAGUAAGCUACUAGGAUUAAAUCGAUUCUAUCAUCCAUUGCUAGCUACGUUGAGCAGCGCAUUUCCAUCGGCCAUCACGAUAUUCCUGUGCUCAGCCUACAAUGCUCUUCCAGUGAGUGUGUUCUUUCUCUCUCGGUUCCUCUCUUUCAAUGCGAUAGCUCGCAGCGGAUUACGACCUCACUGGCCAGAUAAUCUGGCCUGGCACCGAGCUUCUCCUCAAUUACAUUGUGGAUCAUAGCCAAAUUUUUCAAGGAGCUUCGAUCAUUGAGCUGGGCUCUGGUGUUGGUAUGAAGUUCUUCGCAUGGUUUUCUCUUCUUUCUUUCUUUCUGUUUUUUUUUUUAACACUUGUUCUUUUCCAUGGUUUGUAGGAGUGACUGGCCUUUUGUGUGGAAGGAUUGGCUGCCGCAAAGUCGUCAUGACUGAUCACAAUGACACCGUUUUAAAGGCACGAAUUUUCAUGCAUUGUUUCUUAAAACAAGUUUGGGGAUCGCUGCUAGAUCAUGAGGAAAAACGUGGCGCUUCAGCAGGACACGGUGUUGCUAUCGCGUGAGUUCUUUCUCACUGAUAUAUGAUAUAUGAGAGAUCUCGUUUGUUUGUUUGUUUUUUUUUUUUUUUUUCCUCAUUGCAGGGAUUGCCUGUGAAAAGCUUGAGUGGGGGAAUGAAGAACAGCUCUCUCUCAUCCUUGACAAGCAUCCGGAGGGAUUUGACUACAUCCUUGGGGCCGACAUUUAUAUCCUUUUGAUGGAAGCUUUUUGACUCCAAGUUUCUCCUUGAACAGAUCCUAUCACGCUACCAGCAAUGCAACAUUCCUCCGCUAAUGAGGACUGUCAACAAGCUUUUGCAACACCACCACUGCCGCAAGUUUUUUCUUGCUUACAUCUCUCGCAUACAAAGGUUAUUUGCUUCUUCUUUUGUGUUUUCUUGAAUCUUUUCUUUCUUUUUUUUAGCACUGAUCGAGCAUUCUUUAACGAGGCGUCUGAGCACAACCUGGAGUUGCGCGAGGUGGAAGUGUCGAGAACCAGCCCAGGUGAUGGCAUUUACAGCGGUGUGAUUUACGAAAUCAUUCUCAAGCGAGAUUGUCACAAUUGUCGUACCUUUACUGCUCCACAUAUUUGAGAACUCGAAGAGCUUCUCAAUGGUUUCAAACUCCUCUGGAAACGUUAGCAGUCAACCAGAGAAGAUGGUAUGCCAUAAAGGCUUGGAAACUACACAGCAAACAGUGUUUGCGAAGACUAUGUUGGUAUCUAUAUGGUAUUAGUAAACAUAAUUGAUCUUUUCAUUACACAUAGUUGAUGAUCUGAGUUUUGAAUCUCCUUUGCCUGCAUUUCAAACUAGUCUUUUGAGCCUUGAAUCUCCUUUGCCUAGAUUUCAAACUAGUGAAGGAUCUAUUGCUGAGCAGCAACCUUGUAAAAUAAGCUGCCACGAAACAUUUUGUUGUUUUUACCCCUCAAAACUCCAGGAUGCACUGUCCUGUUACAUUGUGCUUUGCUUGCAUUGUCUCAUACUCAAGGGAAUCGUGCUUUCAUGUGCUAUAUUUGUUACGAUACUGCGACAGCUUCCCAAAUCCCUGCUUGUAAUUGCGUUGGUGUACAUCGCCGUGACUUAGCUGUAGAGCAGCCGAAAUUACAAUGAAGAAUGAUACAGCAAUACAAGUUGGGGGCUCAGAUGGGAACACGGAAGAACAUCAAAAUCUUAAGAGGAGAGCACAGAGAUUGGUGAGUCUGUCAGAGCAAGUGAAAUUUGUGGCUCUAGUAUUGUCAGCCCUGGAGAAGGGUGCAACAUACAUAGGGCAAAUAGCAUUCGUGGGCGCCACUGUGGUCCUGCUGGGGGGUUACGUCUCUCAGCUCAAGCCUUACGAUUUCAAGCUCAUUUCUGGUCUGCUGCUUUCAGAGGGUGUGCGAGUGUUCUUAGUCAGCAAGAAUGUUGAUUACUUAGUAGCCGCUGGGUACCACAAAAGUAUCUUUGGAGGGAUAGUUUUCUGGGCUUUGGGAUGUUAUGGCAUUUGCUGUUCGAGGCAGUGGUCAAAUCAUAUAAAGGAGCUGUCAAUACAUCUGAUAUUCCAUGGGCUCCAAGUGGGUAGUGCAGCUGUAACAUUUGGUUUCUCCCUUGCUCGGAUCAAGUCAGGAGACUACAAACACAUCUCGUCGUCGGAUGUAGAGGAGGUGGCCAACUUUGUGUUUGGGAUCAAGCUGUUCUACAUUCUGACUUUGGUGGAGUCAUCAGUUUUCUUGGCGGUCAAACUACUGGGUUGGGACUCCUUCGGGUUGUGGCUGAGAAGUAUUGCGGGUAAGGCUGAAGCGCAUAUACUUGCACACCAUGUAUGCCCACGUGUGCAUGAGGCGUUUAUGAGAGAGGGAUUCAGUAAAGCAUUAGGUGUAAAUCUUUUCACUUACGUCAUCAAUUGGUUUUUGGAUGAAGAACACCAAAAAUGGGAUGAAGAACACCAAGAACGCAGCUCCCAUCACGAGCAGUUACUGGAGCUCCUUUGCUGGAACAUACCUCACGAAGCUAGAACCUUUGGAAGUAUCAAAUGCAUGAUUCAGCUCAUUGCUCUCGGAACAUCAUAUCAUGAAAAACCAAGGCAUACUGCAAACAAGAUUCUAGCAAAGGUUGUAUUAACACCAGGUCAGUUACACAACUUCGUAUUAGCGGUGCGAGAAUUUGGAAUAAUUCCUUUGGCGGUUGUGGACUUUGACGUGAUCAAAUUCCUGGACCGCAUUGUCACAGAAGCACCAGUGGGCUUCCUUCCUCGUGAAGCAGUUUCCAAGCAAGCAUCCGAGUAUCUAAUCAAAUCCAUUAUUGACGGAAGCGACGACGAGAUCAAAGCCGAAGCGGCCUGGACAUUCUUAGAGUGGUGGAGCAGUCCGAGUGUUUACCGGAGCUAUGCUUUUGAUCCUGCAGAUAUCUUUCACAGGAUUUUCAUUCAUAGGCAGUGGUCAAUAUCUAAAAGACAAGUAAGCCAUUCCGAGCUCGAAACAGGUUCGGGAUAUGAAUCAGUUACUGGUCCGUUUAUAACAGUCUUGAGUAAGAAACAUCAGAGGUCAGGUAUCAUGAACAAGUUUUUGAGUAGGGUGGACUUCAGUAAACUCAAGAACAAGCGAAGCACUAUCAACCUGUCUGGCAUUGUCACUGAGGUUAUUGGUGCCAAGUCAGAGCUAGACGAUAUUGUAGUUGGGCUGGUGGCUGCUUGGAUAUGGUUCAUGGAUGAAUCCACUUUCCACAAGGCAAUGUCCAACUUGAGUGAAGCGGAGCUGGGCAUGCUCAAGAGGAGUCCUCGUAUUUAUGAGGCUAUACUGUUAUCUGAGAAGGGAGAAUGGUUUCACAACAGACACACACUAUCUUUAGAAGGUAAGGGAGUUUAUAUAGCUGGUCUCUAGCCAGUAACCACCAUUUUCUAACACGAAGUUCUUGUAAUUCACAAAUACAAUACGUACUGUACACAGGCAUUGGUACCACAUCUGGAGAUCGACGUCACAGCCAAGAACACUGAGUAUCAAGCUUGCUCCUUCAGUCAGUCGUCAGUAUGGACAUGGGAGGAACGUAGCCUCUGCCGGUCAUCUCCAGGUAAUAAAAGUGAGCUCUGUCCAUCCUGUUUGCUGUGAUCAUCCCAUUGAGCAGUGCGUUGUAGGUGACGCGAUCGGGCCUCCACCAGCGAGUCAUCUCCUGGUACACGGGUUCACCUUGCCCGACUUGAUGAGAGCGCUGAUGAUCGAGUUGUAGGCGUAAGGGUGCGGCAUUCCUUCCUUCCUGAUGGCGUUGAAAAGCGACACGGCCUCGUCGACCCGGUUCGCUUUGCAGAGAUGGAAGAUCAGCCUGGUCCGCGUCUGGCUGUUUGCAACACCGCUCCUCUCCAUCUCGUCAAAGAGCAUGCAGCCACCUUCGAGCUUCCCCGACUUGCAGAGCCCGUCCACCAAGCUGCUGUAGACGAAGCUGUCCGGAGGUCAGCCUCUCUCCUUCAUGUGCUGGAAGUAUAGCGAGGCCUUGGUCAGCUGGCGGCGCUUGCAGAGGCCGGAGAUGAGAGCCCCGUAGGUGACAACGUUUGCGGAGCACCGGCUGGAGCUCAUGUCGUCGAAGACUCCACAGGCAGCGUCGGUGUUCCCGGCCUUGCAGAACCCCGAGAUGAGAAUGUUGUACGUGUAGACGUCGGGCUUGCAUCCGGCCUCGAGCAUCUCGUCGAAGAAGGCCCGUGCUGCCUCAACGUCGCCACUCUUGCAAAGCCCGUCGAUGAGGAUGUUGUAAGUGAUGGUGUCCGGGGUGCAAAACGCCUUCUUCAUCUGGGCCAGCAUCUCCAGCGCACAGUCCAUCUUCCUGGCCUUGCACAGGCCGUGGAUGAGAGCGCUGUACACCACCUCGUUUGGAGCCAGGCCUCGAGCUUCCAUCGACUUGAAGAUCCGGACUGCCGCUCCAAUCCUCCCGGCCUUGGAGAGGCCGUCGAUCAUGGUGCUGAGAGUUACCACGUCGGGAACGCAGCCGUGGGACGUCAUCGUCUUGUAGACCGAGGAAGCUUGCGGGAUUUUCCCGGUCUGGAGGAGUUCCCGGAUGAGAGCAGUGUAGCAGACGGUGUCGAGAGCCAGUCCCCGCAAAGCCAUCUCCUUGAAAAGCUUGUAAGCUUCGAAGGAUCGCUUCUCCUUGCCGAGGCCAUCGAUGAGCGAGGUGUAAGUGACCACGUCCGGCGUGCAGCCAUUGUCGACGAUCUUGCGAAGGAGAUCAAUGGCUUCUUCGAGGCGUCCCAUCUUGCAAAGACCAUUGAGGAGAGCGUUGUAGGUGGCGAUGGUGGGAGUACACCCAUUGGCAGUGAUCUUCUCCAUCAGAGCCACGGCCUCUUCGAUCUUCUUGUUCUUGGCGAGCCAGUCCACAAUGGCGGUGUAGGUGUGGAUGUCGAUCGUGCAGCCAUUGAUUGUGGUCUCCUGGGCGAGGGAGUGAGCUUGGAUCAUCAUACCUGCCUUGACGAGGCCAUUGAUGAGGAUCGAGAAUGUCGCAGCGGUCACCGGCAUGGAUCUCCUCACCAUCUCGAAGUGAUCCAUCGCCGCGAGGACCUGGCCCGACUUGCACAGGCCGUGGAGGACGAGAUUGUGGGUCUUGAGCGACGGCGCCACGCCGUAAUCCUCCUCCAUCUCCCUAAUAACCGCGAAUGCCUCCUCGGGCUCGCGAGCCAGGCAGUAGCCGGUGAUGAGGACGUUCCAGGUCUCCACAUCCGGCCGAAAUAUCGUCGCGAGCUCGUUCUUGAGGAGAUUCCCGCCCUCCCUGUGGCGCUUGGUCCUGGCAAACACAUCCAGGCUGUGCUGGAAGCCGAAUCGAGGGGAGGAGAGGCACUGGAAGAGCUCCCAGGCGAGAUCGGCGUCCUUGAGGCACUGGAAGAUCUUCACCACGGCGUCAGUGGAGAUUUCCCGGCGUAGCCUGCCCAGCGCCGCCUCGAUCGAAUGACUGGAAGAGGAGGAGGAAGAGUGGAGCAUCUGCGCGAAAUCCCUGUAGCUCCAGACGCCCGCAUUGGAGCAAGCGGCAAGAUCGUCCGCCUCAUCCUCGGUGGAUUCCUGAGCUACCGGCUGCGUGGCGAUCGAUCUGGCGCGGCUGGGUACCUGGGCAAUGCGCGAUAGCCGGGCAAUGCGCGAGCAUCCAAAUCUUGCCGCCAUUCAUAAACCCUAACCCGUAGGGCUUUAGCGCAUCUUUUUUGAGUAACAUUCUUAUUCUCUUAGGGCUCAUGCGAUGGACGAGGACGACGAUGGAGGAGGUAUUGGAUCGCUGUUCCUGGACGAGAAGUAAGCUACUAGGAUUUAAUCGAUUCUAUCAUCCACUGCUAGCUACGUUGAGCAGCGCAUUUCCAUCGGCCAUCACGAGAUUCCUGUGCUCAGCCUACAAUGCUCUUCCAGUGAGUGUGUUCUUUCUCUCUCGGUUCCUCUCUUUCAAUGCGAUAGCUCGCAGCGGACUACGACCUCACUGGCCAGAUAAUCUGGCCUGGCACCGAGCUUCUCCUCAAUUACAUUGUGGAUCAUAGCCAAAGUUUUCAAGGAGCUUCGAUCAUUGAGCUGGGCUCUGGUGUUGGUAUAAAGUUCUUGGCAUGGUUUUCUCUUCUUUCUCUCUUUUUUUUUUUUUUCUAACACUUGUUUUUUUUUCAUGGUUUUUUUUCAUGGAGUGACUGGCCUUUUGUGUGGAAGGAUUGGCUGCCGCAAAGUCGUCAUGACUGAUCACAAUGACAUCGUUUUAAAGGCAGGAAUUUUCAUGCAUGGUUUCUUAAAACAAGUUUGGGGAUCGCUGCUAGAUCAUGCGGAAAAACGUGGCGCUUCAGCAGGACACGGCGUUGCUAUCGCGUGAGUUCUUUCUCACUGAUAUAUGAUAUAUGAGAGAUCUCGUUUGUUUGUUUGAUUUUUUCUUUUUUCCUCAUUGCAGGGAUUGCCUGUGAAAAGCUUGAGUGGGGGAAUGAAGAACAGCUCUCUCUCAUCCUUGACAAGCAUCCGGAGGGAUUUGACUACAUCCUUGGGGCCGACAUUUAUAUCCCUUUGAUGGAAGCUUUUUUACUCCAAGUUUCUCCUUGAACAGAUCCUAUCACGCUACCAGCAAUGCAACAUUCCUCCGCUAAUCAGGACUGUCAACAAACUUUUGCAACACCACCACUGCCGCAAGUUUCUUCUUGCUUACGUCUCUCGCAUACAGAGGUUAUUUUGCUUCUUUUUUUGUGUUUUCUUGAAUCUUUUGUUUCUUUUUUUCAGCACUGAUCGAGCAUUCUUUAACGAGGCAUCUGAGCACAACCUGGAGUUGCGCGAGGUGGAAGUGUCGAGAACCAGCCCAGGUGAUGGCAUUUACAGCGGUGUGAUUUACGAAAUCAUUCUCAAGCGAGAUUGUCACAAUUGUCGUACCUUUACUGCUCCAAACAUUUGAGAACUCGAAGAGCUACUCAAUGGUUUCAAACUCCUCUGGAAACGUUAGCAGUCAACCAGAGAAGAUGGUAUGCCAUAAAGGCUUGGAAACUACACAGCAAACAGUCUUUGCGAAGACUAUGUUGGUAUCUAUAUGGUAUUAGUAAACAUAAUUGAUCUUUUCAUUACACAUGGUUGAUGAUCUGAGUUUUGAAUCUCCUUUGCCUGCAUUUCAAACUAGUCUUUUGAGCCUUGCAUCUCCUUUGCCUGCAUUUCAAACUAGUCUUUUGAGCCUUGAAUUUCCUUUGCCUAGAUUUAAAACUAGUGAAGGAUCUAUUGCUGAGCAGCAACCUUGUAAAAUAAGCUGCCACGAAACAUUUUGUUGUUUUUACCCCUCAAAACUCCAAGAUGCACUGUCCUGUUACAUUAUGCUUUGCUUGCAUUGUCUCAUACUCAACAGAAUCGUGCUUUCAUGUGCUAUAUUUGUUACGAUACUGCGACAGCUUCCCAAAUCCCUGCUUGUAAUUUCGUUGGUGUACAUCGCCGUGACAUAGCUGUAGAGCAGCCGAGAUUACAAUGGAGAUACAAGAUUGGGACUCAGAUGGCAACACGGAAGAACAUAAGAGGAGAGCACAGAGAUUGGUGAGUCUGUCAGUGCAAGUGAAAUAUGUGGCUCUAGUAUUGGCAGCCUUGGAGCAAGGUGCAACAUACAUAGGGCAAAUAGCGUUCGUGGGUGCCACAGUGAUCCUGCUGGGGGGUUAUGUCUCUCAGCUGAAGUCUUACGAUUUCAGGCUCAUUUCUGGUCUGCUGCUUUCAGAGGGUGUGCGAGUGUUCCUAGGCAGCAAGAAUGUUGAUUACUUAGUAGCCGCUGGGUACCACAAAAGUAUCUUAGGAGGGAUAUUGACCUCGUCAUUGUACUGCGCUUUCGUAGGUUAUGACUUUUGCUAUCUGAGGACGCUGCCGCCAAAGCUUAUAAAGCACCUGUUCAUACAUCUCAUAUUCCAUGGGCUCCAAGUGUGUAGUGCAGCUGUAACAUUUGGUUUCUCUCUUGCUCGGCUCGAGUCAGGAGACUACAAACCCAUCUCAUCGUCGGGUACAGGGCAGGUGGCCAACUUUGUGUAUGGGAUCAGGCUGUUCUACAUUCUAACUUUGGUGGAGUCAUCAGUUUUCUUGGCGGUCAAACUACUGGGUUGGGACUCCUUCAUGUUGUGGCUGAGAAGUAUUGCAGGGGAAGCUGAAGGGCAUAUACUUGCACUCCAUGUAGGCCCACGUGUACAUGAGGCGUUUAUGACAGAGGGAUUCAGAAAAGCAUUAGGUGUAAAUCUUUUCACUUAUGUCAUCAAUUAUUUUUUGGAUGGUGUGGAAGAACAAUGCAGCUUCGAUCACAAGAAGGUACUGGAGGUCCUUUGCUGGAACAUACCUGAUCAAGCUAGAACCUUCGGAAGUAUCAAAUGCAUGAUUCAGCUCAUUGUUCUCGGAACAUCAUAUCAUGAAGGAGCAAGGCAUACUGCAAACAAGAUUCUAGCAAAGGUUGUAUUAACAAAAGGUCAGUUACACAACUUCCUAUUAGCUGUGCGAGAAUUUGGAAUAAUUCCUUUGGCGGUUGUGGACGGUGACCUGAUCAAAUUCCUGGACCACAUUGUCACAGAAACACCAGUCCGCUUUCUUCCUUGGGAAACCAGUUCCCAGCAAGCCUCCAAAAACCUAAUCAAAUCCUCAUUGACCGGAACCACCACAAAAUCAAGGCCCAGGGGCCCCAAAUUCUUGAAGGGGGGAAGANNNNNNNNNNNNNNNNNNNNNNNNNNNNNNNNNNNNNNNNNNNNNNNNNNNNNNNNNNNNNNNNNNNNNNNNNNNNNNNNNNNNNNNNNNNNNNNNNNNNCACUUGAGUGAAGCGGAGCUGGGCAUGCUCAAGAGGAGUCCUCGUAUUUAUGAGGCUAUACUGUGAUCUGAGAAGGGAGAAUGGCUUCACAACAGACACACACUAUCUUUAGAAGGUAAGGGAGUUUAUAUAGCUGGUCUCUAGCCAGUAACCACCAUUUUCUAACACGAAGUUCUUGUAAUUCACAAAUACAAUACGUACUGUACACAGGCCUUGGUACCACAUCUGGAGACCGACGUCACAGCCAAGAACACUGAGUAUCAAGCUUGCUCCUUCAGUCAGUCGUCAGUAUGGACAUGGGAGGAACGUAGCCUCUGCCGGUCAUCUCCAGGUAAUAAAAGUGAGCUCUGUCCAUCCUGUUUGCUGCGCUCAUCCCAUUGAGCAGUGCGUUGUAGGUGACGCGAUCGGGCCUCCACCAGCGAGUCAUCUCCUGGUACACGGGUUCACCUUGCCCGACUUGAUGAGAGCGCUGAUGAUCGAGUUGUAGGCGUAAGGGUGCGGCAUUCCUUCCUUCCUGAUGGCGUUGAAAAGCGACACGGCCUCGUCGACCCGGUUCGCUUUGCAGAGAUGGAAGAUCAGCCUGGUCCGCGUCUGGCUGUUUGCAACACCGCUCCUCUCCAUCUCGUCAAAGAGCAUGCAGCCACCUUCGAGCUUCCCCGACUUGCAGAGCCCGUCCACCAAGCUGCUGUAGACGAAGCUGUCCGGAGGUCAGCCUCUCUCCUUCAUGUGCUGGAAGUAUAGCGAGGCCUUGGUCAGCUGGCGGCGCUUGCAGAGGCCGGAGAUGAGAGCCCCGUAGGUGACAACGUAUGCGGAGCACCGGCUGGAGCUCAUGUCGUCGAAGACUCCACAGGCAGCGUCGGUGUUCCCGGCCUUGCAGAACCCCGAGAUGAGAAUGUUGUACGUGUAGACGUCGGGCUUGCAUCCGGCCUCGAGCAUCUCGUCGAAGAAGGCCCGUGCUGCCUCAACGUCGCCACUCUUGCAAAGCCCGUCGAUGAGGACGUUGUAAGUGAUGGUGUCCGGGGUACAAAACGCCUUCUUCAUCUGGGCCAACAUCUCCAGCGCACAGUCCAUCUUCCUGGCCUUGCACAGGCCGUGGAUGAGAGCGCUGUACACCACCUCGUUUGGAGCCAGGCCUCGAGCUUCCAUCGACUUGAAGAUCCGGACUGCCGCUCCAAUCCUCCCGGCCUUGGAGAGGCCGUCGAUCAUGGUGCUGAGAGUUACCACGUCGGGAACGCAGCCGUGGGACGUCAUCGUCUUGUAGACCGAGGAAGCUUGCGGGAUUUUCCCGGUCUGGAGGAGUUCCCGGAUGAGAGCAGUGUAGCAGACGGUGUCGAGAGCCAGUCCCCGCAAAGCCAUCUCCUUGAAAAGCUUGUAAGCUUCGAAGGAUCGCUUCUCCUUGCCGAGGCCAUCGAUGAGCGAGGUGUAAGUGACCACGUCCGGCGUGCAGCCAUUGUCGACGAUCUUGCGAAGGAGAUCAAUGGCUUCUUCGAGGCGUCCCAUCUUGCAGAGACCAUUGAGGAGAGCGUUGUAGGUGGCGAUGGUGGGAGUACACCCAUUGGCAGUGAUCUUCUCCAUCAGAGCCACGGCCUCU
Molecule: long non-coding RNA, 11516 nt
Filed under: Selaginella moellendorffii
Lineage: Eukaryota; Viridiplantae; Streptophyta; Lycopodiopsida; Selaginellales; Selaginellaceae
Description: long non-coding RNA (SMOE_LNC000708)
Source: RNAcentral